AGGACGAACGCUGGCGGCGUGCUUAACACAUGCAAGUCGAGCGGAAAGGCCCUUCGGGUACUCGAGCGGCGAACGGGUGAGUAACACGUGAGUAAUCUGCCCCUAGCUCUGGGAUAGCUCCGGGAAAACCGGGAUUAAUACCAGAUACGACCACUUUAGACAUCUGCUGUGGUGGAAAGAAUUUCGGCUAGGGAUGAGCUCGCGGCCUAUCAGCUUGUUGGUGAGGUAACGGCUCACCAAGGCGACGACGGGUAGCCGGCCUGAGAGGGCGACCGGCCGACACUGGGACUGAGACACGGCCCAGACUCCUACGGGAGGCAGCAGUGGGGAAUAUUGCGCAAUGGGCGAAAGCCUGACGCAGCGACGCCGCGUGGGGGAUGAAGGCCUCGGGUUGUAAACCCUUCAGCAGGACGAAGCGAAGUGACGGUACCUGCAGAAGAAGCGCCGGCUAACUACGUGCCAGCAGCCGCGGUAA
Molecule: ribosomal RNA, 475 nt
Filed under: uncultured bacterium
Lineage: Bacteria
Description: SSU rRNA
Rfam family: Bacterial small subunit ribosomal RNA
Source: RNAcentral